Molecule: non-coding RNA, 148 nt
Filed under: Chlorocebus sabaeus (green monkey)
Lineage: Eukaryota; Metazoa; Chordata; Mammalia; Primates; Cercopithecidae
Source: Rfam by way of RNAcentral
GCUGGGCGUGGUGGUGCAUGCCUGUAAUUCCAGCUACUCGGGAGGCUGAGGCAGGAGAAUCGCUUGAACCCGGGAGGCGGAGGUUGCGAUGAGCCAAGAUUGCGCCAUCGCACUCCAGCCUGGGGUACAGAGCGAGAUUCUGUCUCAA